This 497-nucleotide ribosomal RNA is filed under the name uncultured bacterium. Its description in RNAcentral is "partial 16S ribosomal RNA". It matches the Rfam family "Bacterial small subunit ribosomal RNA", at positions 28 to 507 of the family's 1533-position model. The record is from RNAcentral.
GAUGAACGCUGGCGGCGUGCCUAAUACAUGCAAGUCGAGCGAACAGACGAGGAGCUUGCUCCUCUGACGUUAGCGGCGGACGGGUGAGUAACACGUGGAUAACCUCCCUAUAAGACUGGGAUAACUUCGGGAAACCGGAGCUAAUACCGGAUAAUAUAUUGAACCGCAUGGUUCAAUAGUGAAAGACGGUUUUGCUGUCACUUAUAGAUGGAUCCGCGCCGCAUUAGCUAGUUGGUAAGGUAACGGCUUACCAAGGCAACGAUGCGUAGCCGACCUGAGAGGGUGAUCGGCCACACUGGAACUGAGACACGGUCCAGACUCCUACGGGAGGCAGCAGUAGGGAAUCUUCCGCAAUGGGCGAAAGCCUGACGGAGCAACGCCGCGUGAGUGAUGAAGGUCUUCGGAUCGUAAAACUCUGUUAUUAGGGAAGAACAAAUGUGUAAGUAACUAUGCACGUCUUGACGGUACCGAAUCAGAAAGCCACGGCUAACUACGUG